UAACUCUCCUAACCGUUGGUCUCUAAUUUCUACUCACUGAAAAUGCUUCGCAAAACUCCAAAAUAUGUGAGGAAGAGGAAGGUGUUCAAAGGAGAUCAAUACCAGAUAUUACAGAAGAGUAACAUGAAUGCUGGAGAGGUGCCAGAAGAACUAACAGCUAAUUCAGAGAUCGAGGAAGCUUUCCCUAAAUAAGUGUUUGGACAGCCCUAUUUUUGGCCCUGGUCCCACAUGUGAAGAUCCGCGUCAUUAGUGGCCCACAACUUGCAGCUGCUUUGCAAAAGGCUCACGUGUGUCUUGGAGGGCAUCUCAUUCCUCUGGAGAAUUUGUCAAAGAGGAAUGAAUGGGUUGAACUGCGCCAUGGUCCUUGGUUGCUUCAUUUGCAAGAAGGAGAGGACAUUCUCUUCAUCAGAAAAUGAAUGCGAAGGACGUGGAAAGUCUGCAGAAAUAAACCGCAGAGCUACUUUGGCAGCAACGGAGGUUGGUUUGGCAUGGGAUAGCUUGUACGUGCGACUUGCUGACCAUCCUCGGAACAGCCCCACUAGUCGAAGCCCCUAGCUACAACAGGCACAUAGCCACUUUAUCUUCCUUAUCCCAAGAGACCAGUAAGGAUCAGAAGAAGAAGGUGGCAGCAUGCCUACGUCAAAGGGCCAUGGACAAGGAUCUGACCAUCAGGGAAAAUUAUUAUGUGGACGUGGCAGUGCCCUACGAUGGAACAUGGCAUAGACGAGGUUACACAUCGAAUCAUGGGGUGGGGGUAGUGAUACCGAUCGAUACAUGUAAACAGUUUGAGUAUAGAAAGGGUUGGGUCUUCAGUGUUCUCAGCCAGAGGGACCUUGAUCGCCUUCAGAGACUCCAAAACUGAGCAGCAAGGCUCGUCUUUUCUGCUCCUCUUCGAACUCACAUACAACCUCUUUGACUUGAACUUCAUUGUACAUGUUUAUACAAUGUUUUAGAACAUUUCUGUGCUGCAACUCAGUGCCUUAGUUUUUAUUGUACAUGUUUAUAUAUUUUUAACUUGCCUUUCAUUUUAGUCAUGUUUACAUACACACUAUAUAUGACAUUUUAGUUAUUUAGAGGAACUAGGGUGAUAUAUAUGUGGGUAUUUAGUACACAUUAGUAGAAUAAGUCCAAGUAAUAUGUGUUGCAAUUAUGAACUUGCCUUUCAUUUUAGUUUGUAGUGUACAUGUUUAUGUGAUAUAUUUUUUACUUGCCUUUUAUUUUAGUUUUUAGCAUAUGUACAUGCAUACAACUUUUGAUAUAAACCAAAUACAUCCUGCCACUUUCAUUCAA
Molecule: long non-coding RNA, 1290 nt
Organism: Strongylocentrotus purpuratus (purple sea urchin)
Lineage: Eukaryota; Metazoa; Echinodermata; Echinoidea; Camarodonta; Strongylocentrotidae
Exons: 3
Source: RefSeq, a predicted model, not a curated record